Ceratotherium simum simum (southern white rhinoceros) is the source of this 365-nucleotide non-coding RNA. NCBI's taxonomy places the organism in Eukaryota, Metazoa, Chordata, Mammalia, Perissodactyla, Rhinocerotidae. The record is from RefSeq and is a predicted model, not a curated record.
CAUUGUUUUUCCUAUUAUCUGAUUUUUAAGACCAAGCAAGAAGACUGAAGUUCUUAAAUGUAUGAAAACCCUUUUCUCAAGGGUAGUUGCUUACACUUCCCUUCUAAGAACUCCAUUAAGACAAGGCUUAUUUGUCUGGUUCACCAUUGUAGCCACAGUCUAGCACUGUGUGUGUGUGUGUGUAUGUGUGUAUGUUGAUAAAUAUUUAAGUGAGGAAACUUUCAUUACUAUGCUUUGAAUCAAAACAAAAAUAAGCUCUUGCCUCAUAGGGGCAUGAAAGACUGGAUGGUACUAAAUUAUAACCCUGUUCAGCUACUAAUUUGAUGGAUAAUUUCAAAAGUGGUCCAGAAGGGGAAGAGGUAGGU